CUACCUCUCCCUCAAUAAUUCCCUAUCUCUCUAUCUUUUAUCUCUCUACCUCUUCUUCUCUACAAACUGACCUCAUAAACCAAAAUUUCCCUACUGUGUACCCAUUGCACACUAAGGUGCCAUUGCUAAUUGUACAUAAUUUGGGAAUAUUAAUGUGCAGCUGGCAUAUCCUCAACCGUCUAGGGCAUUGCAGGGAUCAUCGUGCCGGAGCCCUUAGCUGGAAGGCCGCCGGCGACAGAGAAGAUCUCCCACAAAAGAUUAGCCGUUGAGAGAAUGAUAACGGUAAAGAAAAUUCAAAAAAUGUUGAUGGAGACGGGAAAAAGCAUUUGAAAUUAACAUAAGGAUAAACAAUUCAGUUUCAUUCGGUUACAGACAUUCAUUCUUUCUCUGAUUGCCUCUCUCUGUCGAUGUUCUGUUCUGUGGUUGUAUCUUUUCAAUGUUCUGUUCUGUGAUUGUAUCUUUUCAAUAUUCUGUUCUUUCUAUCUGUUUUGUUCAAUUUUCAAGUGCUUGUUUCGUUUUCAUUUUUCAUUUUUCUUGUGUACAGUGUGCACGCUGGUCUGUCUGCCUUUUUUUUGUUUUUUGUCUGUCUGUUUAUUUUUUGUGGCAGAGGAGAGGAAAGGCAGAGGAGAGGAAGACGCAAAGCAACUGAGGGCAAAAUCUUCUUCCGGGCAUGAGAUGCAGGGCCUGCCAAGAGUUCGUAUAACCGAUGAAGAGAUGGGAAGUUUCUUACGACCUGCUUCCUAGAUCAACAGUAGCUGCUCUAGAAGGAAAACAUAUUUUCAAAACAGCUAACCCAGCGUUUGAAUUCUGUGUGUUCUCAGGAAAUGAGUUGAUCUUCACUUGCAUAGCUAAUCCAUUUGGAAUUUCUAUCAAGCACAGAUCCUAUGGAGAGGUUCUGUUCAACUUCUCUUAUGGAAGCUUGGUUUUCAUUAUCUGGUUUAGCUCCAUUAGAUGUGGUUCAGCGGUUUGCUGACCUCGUGGGAUAUACAGCUGCAAUGUCCUCUUGGGCUUCUGGCAUGAGACGCAAGACCCAGUAAGAGUUCAUAUAACCAAUGCAGAGAAGAAGAGAUGGGAAGUUCCUUAUGACCUCCUUCCUAGAUCACAAGUAGCUGCUUUAGAAGGAAGCCCUAUUCAAAAACAACUAUGGUUCGUCUCCAUUAGAUGUUCUUCAGAGGACACAGCUGCAAUGCCCUAUUGGGCUUUUGGAUUAUUGAGGUCGAAGUUGAAGUGCUUGAUGAGGUUGACAUUUCUUGUUUACACCAUUCCUUUUUCUAAGAUGAUAUUUUAAGAGCUAUUUUAAGAUGAUUUUUGACAAAGCACUUGAUGAAGUGAGAUUCUAAUGCAGGCAUGAGACGCACGACCCAGAAAGAGUUCAUAUAGCCAAUACAGAGAAGAAGAGAUGGGAAGUUCCUUAUGACCUCCUUCCUGGAUCACAAGUAGCUGCUUUAGAAGGAAGCCAUAUUACAAAAACAGCUAACCCAGUGUUUGAAUUCUCCGUGAUUGCAGGCAACGAAUUGAUCUAAUCCUGCACAGCCAAUCCAUUUGGAUUUUCCCUUGGAGAGGUUCGUCUCCAUUAGAUGUUCUUCAGCAGUUCACCGACUUCAUAGGACACAGCUGCAAUGCCCUGUUGAGCUUCUGUAAGUUGACAUACAAGUUAUGGGGGUUCGCUGGACUUAUACUUCUUUGCAGGUUCGUCUCCAUUAGAUGUUCUUCAGCAGUUCACCGACUUCAUAGGACACAGCUGCAAUGCCCUGUUGAGCUUCUGGAUCAUUGAAGUCGAAGUUGAAGUGCUUGAUGAGGUUUUCUAAGAUGAUAUUUUAAGAGUUUUUAUAUAGAUUUGGGAAACAUUGUAGCUGUACAUGGCGACUCUUGGAACAAGUGGGUUGAAGGUCACACUUCCAAGAAUGGUUGUCUAACAGUUUAAUUAAAAGAAGAUCCCAGAGAAAGCUGAACAGCUUUUUGAACUGGUUAUUUUUCACAAUUAUGGUGAGAGAAAGCCUAAGAUAGUGACAUUUGGUUUGUAUUCAGCAAGGAAUGGAAUUAGGUAUUGACCAUUUCUUUAAUAAUAUUUUGGUCAAGUGCAUUGACCUAAUACCAUUGUAACAUGUACAUAUAUGAUGUUUAAUAAUAAUAAAAAAUUAUUAGAAGGGGCUAAAGGCCUGCCCCUUCUAAAGACCAAAGGGAAUAG
Cryptomeria japonica (Japanese cedar) is the source of this 2188-nucleotide long non-coding RNA. RefSeq lists it as uncharacterized. The record is from RefSeq and is a predicted model, not a curated record. The transcript is spliced from 10 exons. NCBI's taxonomy places the organism in Eukaryota, Viridiplantae, Streptophyta, Pinopsida, Cupressales, Cupressaceae.